RNAcentral lists this ribosomal RNA (502 nucleotides) under uncultured bacterium. Its description in RNAcentral is "partial 16S ribosomal RNA". It matches the Rfam family "Bacterial small subunit ribosomal RNA", at positions 29 to 523 of the family's 1533-position model. The record is from RNAcentral.
AGUGAACGCUGGCGGUAGGCCUAACACAUGCAAGUCGAACGGCAGCACGGGAGCUUGCUCCUGGUGGCGAGUGGCGAACGGGUGAGUAAUACAUCGGAACGUACCCAGGAGUGGGGGAUAACGUAGCGAAAGUUACGCUAAUACCGCAUAUUCUGUGAGCAGGAAAGCGGGGGAUCGCAAGACCUCGCGCUCUUGGAGCGGCCGAUGUCGGAUUAGCUAGUUGGUGAGGUAAAAGCUCACCAAGGCGACGAUCCGUAGCAGGUCUGAGAGGAUGAUCUGCCACACUGGGACUGAGACACGGCCCAGACUCCUACGGGAGGCAGCAGUGGGGAAUUUUGGACAAUGGGGGCAACCCUGAUCCAGCCAUGCCGCGUGAGUGAAGAAGGCCUUCGGGUUGUAAAGCUCUUUCGGCGGGGAAGAAAUGGCAACGGCUAAUAUCCGUUGUUGAUGACGGUACCCGCAUAAGAAGCACCGGCUAACUACGUGCCAGCCGCCGCAGUAA